This 941-nucleotide ribosomal RNA is filed under the name uncultured archaeon. RNAcentral's name for it is "bacterial SSU rRNA". It matches the Rfam family "Archaeal small subunit ribosomal RNA", at positions 6 to 922 of the family's 1478-position model. The record is from RNAcentral.
GGUUGAUCCYGCCGGACCCCACUGCUAUCGGGAUGGGACUAAGACAUGCUAGUCGUGCGCCUCCUAGCCAUGAUGGAGGCACGGCGCACAGCUCAGUAACACGUUGCUAACCUACCCUUGGGACGGAAACAUCCCCGGGAAACUGGGGCCAAUUUCCGAUAGGUGAAGACUCCUGGAAUGGGUCUCCGCUGAAAAGGCAUUUAGGUCAUGCUUCUGGAUGCUGCCCAAGGAUGGGGCCACGGCCGAUCAGGUUGUUGGUGAGGUAACGGCCCACCAAGCCUUUAACCGGUUCGGGCCGUGGGAGCGGGAGCCCGGAGAUGGGUACUGAGACAAGAACCCAGGCCCUACGGGGCGCAGCAGUCGCGAAAACUUCGCAAUAAGCGAAAGCUUGACGGGGCUAUCCCGAGUGCCAUCUGCUGAGGAUGGCUUUUCUUCAGUGUAUAAAGCUGGGGGAAUAAGGAGAGGGCAAGUCUGGUGUCAGCCGCCGCGGUAAUACCAGCUCUCCGAGUGGUGAGGACGUUUAUUGGGCCUAAAGCAUUCGUAGCCGGCUGGGCAAGUUCUCCGUUAAAUCCAGCGAUCUAAUCGUUGGACUGCGGGGAAUACUGUCCGGCUAGGGGACGGGAGAGGCCGACGGUAUUCUCGGGGUAGGGGUGAAAUCCUAUAAUCCCGAGAAGACCACCAGUGGCGAAGGCUGUCGGCUAGAACGGGCCCGACGGUGAGGGAUGAAAGCUGGGGGAGCGAACCGGAUUAGAUACCCGGGUAGUCCCAGCUGUAAACGAUGCAGGCUAGGUGUCAGGGCGGCCACGUGCCGCUCUCGUGCCGCAGGGAAGCUGUUAAGCCUGCCGCCUGGGGAGUACGGCCGCAAGGCUGAAACUUAAAGGAAUUGGCGGGGGAGCACCACAAGGGGUGAAGCUUGCGGUUUAAUUGGAGUCAACGCCGGG